RNAcentral lists this long non-coding RNA (587 nucleotides) under Olea europaea subsp. europaea. The record is from RNAcentral. Lineage: Eukaryota; Viridiplantae; Streptophyta; Magnoliopsida; Lamiales; Oleaceae.
AGGUAUUCAUUCGAUUGUCUUUUAGUUACAAGCACGAAUUUACAUAUAUCAAAUAUACUAGAAUUAAUCAUUAUUUCAUGUGGGACGAUAACUCUUUUAUCACGAUUAUUACUUGUACAACGAACCCGUACGCUUGCGAAAUUUGAUGAACAUUUACCAAAUCCAGUGGAGCCAUCAAUCCACGCCACAUUACGAACAGAAGCUACAACUUCUACAACACCUAUAAAAUAAACCCAUGACAAAAUCUUCUAUUUUGGCAAGUUGAAUUGUGCAAAUCUUUCCCCUCCAGAAAAUCUGGUAUUUUUGCUAAUUGGGUUCUGAAAGGCCUAUUUGCAAUGGUUUUGAGGUAAGAUGAAGAAAACAAAUGUGUUUUGAAGUUAGUUCGAAAAAAGGAAUUCUGGGUUUCGGCAGAUUAAGUUGGGGGGAAAGAGGAUGGAACGGUAGAAGAGAGAUUGUCAUUUUGUCAAGCUCAAAGUGUCAAUGGAAUGUGGUGUGUGCAUACAUAUUUGCUUGUACAGUGGGUGAAUGUUUUUCAGUGCCUGGUUCAGACCGUACAUUGGUCAAAAGUUUUAGUGAAGAAAUUGGUC